Molecule: small RNA, 565 nt
Filed under: Pan troglodytes (chimpanzee)
Lineage: Eukaryota; Metazoa; Chordata; Mammalia; Primates; Hominidae
Description: processed transcript
Source: RNAcentral
CCACUUCGAGCUGAGGGCCUCGAAGGUUCCAGAGAGGCAGCGGCCAGGGUCCACCAGCAUGUCCAGCCCCUCAUUUUCAGGGCGUUAGGCCUGGCCAGCAGCACCAGUAACAUCUACACGCAGUCAGACGUGAAGUGUGUUCACAUCUAUGAGAACCAGCGCUGGAACCCUGUCACAGGCUACACCAGCAGGGGUCUGCCCACGGACCGGUACAUGUGGAGCGACGCCUCGGGGCUGCAGGAGUGCACGAAGGCUGGCACGAAGCCCCCGUCCCUGCAGUGGGCCUGGGUUUCCGACUGGUUCGUGGAUUUCAGCGUUCCGGGGGGCACGGACCAGGAGGGGUGGCAGUAUGCCAGCGACUUCCCUGCCUCAUACCAUGGGUCCAAAACGAUGAAGGAUUUUGUGAGGAGGAGGUGCUGGGCCAGAAAAUGCAAGCUGGUGACCAGUGGGCCCUGGCUGGAGGUGCCCCCCAUCGCCCUCAGGGACGUAUCCAUCAUCCCGGAGAGCCCAGGUGCCAAGGGGAGUGGGCACAGCAUCGCCCUCUGGGCCAUCAGCGACAAGGGGG